CGCAUAAUCUCUACGGAGAAAAGCAGGGGAUCGCAAGACCUUGCGCUCUUGGAGCGGCCGAUGCCUGAUUAGCUAGUUGGUGAGGUAAAGGCUUACCAAGGCGACGAUCAGUAGCUGGUCUGAGAGGACGACCAGCCACACUGGGACUGAGACACGGCCCAGACUCCUACGGGAGGCAGCAGUGGGGAAUUUUGGACAAUGGGGGAAACCCUGAUCCAGCCAUGCCGCGUGAGUGAAGAAGGCCUUCGGGUUGUAAAGCUCUUUCAGCCGGAACGAAACGGUCACGGCUAAUACCUGUGACUACUGACGGUACCGGAAGAAGAAG
Molecule: ribosomal RNA, 325 nt
Filed under: Nitrosospira sp.
Lineage: Bacteria; Pseudomonadati; Pseudomonadota; Betaproteobacteria; Nitrosomonadales; Nitrosomonadaceae
Description: bacterial SSU rRNA
Rfam family: Bacterial small subunit ribosomal RNA
Source: RNAcentral